CAGAAUAUAGCUAAACCAAUAGCAUUUCCCUUACACUGAAAAGUUACCCGCGCAAAUCAGGUUGUUCUGA
This 70-nucleotide transfer RNA is filed under the name Anablepsoides compressus. RNAcentral's name for it is "tRNA-Val". It matches the Rfam family "tRNA". From Rfam's summary of the family: Transfer RNA (tRNA) molecules are approximately 80 nucleotides in length. Their secondary structure includes four short double-helical elements and three loops (D, anti-codon, and T loops). The record is from RNAcentral. Lineage: Eukaryota; Metazoa; Chordata; Actinopteri; Cyprinodontiformes; Rivulidae.